This 346-nucleotide long non-coding RNA is filed under the name Cricetulus griseus (Chinese hamster). Its description in RNAcentral is "lncRNA (ENSCGRG00015041961.1)". Lineage: Eukaryota; Metazoa; Chordata; Mammalia; Rodentia; Cricetidae. The record is from RNAcentral.
GUGGUCCUGGGGAACGGGAGUAUGUUGCCCCCUUUUCACAGCCUUGCAGAGGUGGAACUUGGACUCUGGAUAAGGACAGUGCCAGGCCUGAUGGGAAAAUAAAAUCUUCAGUGCUUUCAUCUUUGAGAUUUUGCUGUAAACUGGCAUGUGGACAAACACAGUAAAUGAUAAAUUCAGCUUCCAUGCAGCACUGUCCCAGGGCCAUGUGAGAUAAGCUAGGGCUGACGGCGUGGAGCCAGAGCAGACCCAGGUAUAUAGUUCUGUGGCAGAAUACUGGCUGAGAAUGUCUCUGGGAUUCCCUGUAGAUUUCCAUCCACUUCAUUUGUCUUUGAUACCUCUGCUCUGA